UAGGGAGACGCCAAGAUCCCGGACGCGCAGAUGGGUCAUGAGAAGACCAUGAGCGGUCUGAUGCCAGCGCUUGCAGGCGCCAACACCAUAUAUGGUGCAG
Euryarchaeota archaeon 55_53 is the source of this 100-nucleotide non-coding RNA. The record is from Rfam. Lineage: Archaea; Methanobacteriati; Methanobacteriota.